AGGACGAACGCUGGCGGCGCGCUUAACACAUGCAAGUCGAGCGGAAAGGCCCUUCGGGGUACUCGAGCGGCGAACGGGUGAGUAACACGUGAGCAACCUGCCCUUAGCUCCGGGAUAGCUCCGGGAAACCGGAAUUAAUACCGGAUACGACCACGGCCGACAUCUGCUGUGGUGGAAAGGAUUCCGGCUAAGGAUGGGCUCGCGGCCUAUCAGCUAGUUGGUGGAGUAACGGCCCACCAAGGCGACGACGGGUA
RNAcentral lists this ribosomal RNA (254 nucleotides) under uncultured bacterium. RNAcentral's name for it is "partial small subunit ribosomal RNA". It matches the Rfam family "Bacterial small subunit ribosomal RNA", at positions 26 to 285 of the family's 1533-position model. The record is from RNAcentral.